RNAcentral lists this ribosomal RNA (497 nucleotides) under uncultured bacterium. RNAcentral's name for it is "partial 16S ribosomal RNA". It matches the Rfam family "Bacterial small subunit ribosomal RNA", at positions 28 to 507 of the family's 1533-position model. The record is from RNAcentral.
GAUGAACGCUGGCGGCGUGCCUAAUACAUGCAAGUCGAGCGAACGGACGAGAAGCUUGCUUCUCUGAUGUUAGCGGCGGACGGGUGAGUAACACGUGGAUAACCUACCUAUAAGACUGGGAUAACUUCGGGAAACCGGAGCUAAUACCGGAUGAUAUUUUGAACCGCAUGGUUCAAAAGUGAAAGACGGUCUUGCUGUCACUUAUAGAUGGAUCCGCGCUGCAUUAGCUAGUUGGUAAGGUAACGGCUUACCAAGGCAACGAUGCAUAGCCGACCUGAGAGAGUGAUCGGCCACACUAGAACUGAGACACGGUCCAGACUCCUACGGGAGGCAGCAGUAGGGAAUCUUCCGCAAUGGGCGAAAGCCUGACGGAGCAACGCCGCGUGAGUGAUGAAGGUCUUCGGAUCGUAAAACCCUGUUAUUAGGGAAGAACAUAUGUGUAAGUAACUGUGCACAUCUUGACGGUACCUAAUCAGAAAGCCACGGCUAACUACGUG